Molecule: ribosomal RNA, 253 nt
Filed under: uncultured bacterium
Lineage: Bacteria
Description: partial 16S ribosomal RNA
Rfam family: Bacterial small subunit ribosomal RNA
Source: RNAcentral
UACGUAGGUGGCAAGCGUUAUCCGGAUUUAUUGGGUUUAAAGGGUGCGUAGGCGGCUUGAUAAGUCAGUGGUGAAAGCCGAUCGCUUAACGAUCGAACUGCCAUUGAUACUGCCAGGCUUGAGUAUAGAUGAGGUAGGCGGAAUUGACAGUGUAGCGGUGAAAUGCAUAGAUAUUGUCAAGAACACCAAUUGCGAAGGCAGCUUACUAAGUUAUAACUGACGCUGAGGCACGAAAGUGCGGGGAUCAAACAGG